GCAUUGGUGGUUCAGUGGUAGAAUUCUCACCUCCCAUGCGGGAGAGCUGGGUUCAAUUCCCAGCCAAUACA
Symphalangus syndactylus (siamang) is the source of this 71-nucleotide non-coding RNA. The record is from the annotation of a RefSeq genome assembly. Lineage: Eukaryota; Metazoa; Chordata; Mammalia; Primates; Hylobatidae.